RNAcentral lists this ribosomal RNA (354 nucleotides) under Triticum aestivum (bread wheat). RNAcentral's name for it is "partial small subunit ribosomal RNA". The record is from RNAcentral. Lineage: Eukaryota; Viridiplantae; Streptophyta; Magnoliopsida; Poales; Poaceae.
ACGGUCCUUGUGUUGAUCCCCAAGGCACAAAACCCCACUCUCCUUACCCAGUUUAGACCUAUUAGUCUUUGCAAUGUUAUCUACAAAAUUGCGUCAAAAGUUGUAGCGAAUAGACUCAAAGUGAUAUUGCCAGAUAUUAUCUCAAAGGAGCAAUCAGCUUUUGUCCCAGGAAGGUUAAUCACCGAUAAUAUCAUAUGUGCCUAUGAAUGCUUGCACUUUAUGAAGAGAAACCGAUCCAAGUCUAAUAGCUUUUGUGCACUAAAGCUGGACAUGAUGAAGGCGUAUGACAGAGUGGAAUGGCCUUACCUACAAGCCAUCAUGGGUAAGCUUGGUUUUGCUUCGGAAUGGGUCUAG